Long non-coding RNA from Leopardus geoffroyi (Geoffroy's cat), 1024 nucleotides. RefSeq lists it as uncharacterized. The transcript is spliced from 2 exons. The record is from RefSeq and is a predicted model, not a curated record. NCBI's taxonomy places the organism in Eukaryota, Metazoa, Chordata, Mammalia, Carnivora, Felidae.
AAAUUAAAAAAAAAAAAUUAAAAAACAAGAAAGAAAGAAAAUUCCUGGCUGGCUGGUUAAGACUUACAUUCUCAGGGAGGUUGAAUUUGCAAUUAGGUUAGGUAUUAAGCCUCCUUUUGGCCUAAGGGACACUAUUGCUUUCACACCCUUUAAGGUCACAUUCUCAGGUUGUGGGUAGACAUCUCUUUUUUGCGGGGGGGGGGGGGGCACAACCCAACAUUGUCCAAGAAGAUCAUUAUCAGCUCUACUUUAUGGGCAACUGAGGCACAGAGAGAUCAGGUUGCUGCUCUGAGGGGCUAGGACUUCAACCCUGGCUGUCGGGAGCCUGAAUCUAUUCGCUUCACCGCUCUGGAAUCCUCUCCAGUCUGCUGUGGGCCAAGCCCUUGCCGGAAGUGGGGACAUCGAGGCGAGCAAGGAUUGGAAGCAACAGGUGGACUGGGUCCCCUGUCUCACCUCCCCCGUCUCCUGCAUCUACCUCUGGGCCUCCAGUCUGAGUGGGAUGAGCCACGCUGUCGAACCUCCAGGGAAUGGUUGACGGGCUGGACUUUGAAAGGGGCCAAAGUUAUACACGCUGAGCCCAACCUGGGCCUGGCUGCCUUGCCCCACCCCUUAACCCCCUCCCCUCAUCUUGGGAGCCACAUUGCUGGGUCCCAAAGCCUCCCACCCCAGCUCCCCCAUUGGUCACCCUGAAUCCAACCUCCUGGUGACCCCAGGGGCUCCGGGGUCUCAAGGCACUGGCCUGGGCUCCUCAGCACCCCCAAGAUCGUUCUAGAAGAGAAGCAGGACCACGAGUGGACCUUGUCAAGGGGCGGCUGCGCACUGGGCAUGGCUGAGGCGAUGCUGCUGAACGCCACCUCACUGGGUUGGCCUGCCGUGUAGACGAACAACUCAGGCAAGCCUGCCGUGUAGACGAACAACUCAGGCACUUGGACAAUGAUGGGAAUCGCCGUCCACCCGUUGUGUUGAUUUAUGUCAGCAUAAAGCAAACACGUACAGCAGAUAGGGCAAAGGAUACCAAAUCCAA